RNAcentral lists this ribosomal RNA (485 nucleotides) under uncultured bacterium. RNAcentral's name for it is "partial 16S ribosomal RNA". It matches the Rfam family "Bacterial small subunit ribosomal RNA", at positions 899 to 1397 of the family's 1533-position model. The record is from RNAcentral.
ACUCAAAGGAAUUGACGGGGGCCCGCACAAGCAGCGGAGCGUGUGGUUUAAUUCGAGGCUACACGAAGAACCUUACCCAGGUUUGACAUACCAGUGGUAGUGAACCGAAAGGGGAACGACCUUCGGGAGCUGGUACAGGUGCUGCAUGGCUGUCGUCAGCUCGUGUCGUGAGAUGUUCGGUUAAGUCCGGUAACGAGCGCAACCCUCGCCGUUAGUUACAAGUGUCUAGCGGGACUGCCCGGAGGAACUGGGAGGAAGGUGGGGAUGACGUCAAGUCAGCAUGGCCUUUAUAUCUGGGGCUACACACACGCUACAAUGGUCGGGACAAUGGGCAGCCAAGCGGCGACGCGGAGCUAAUCCAGUCAAACCCGGCCUCAGUUCGGAUUGCAGGCUGCAACUCGCCUGCAUGAAGUCGGAGUUGCUAGUAAACGCAGGUCAGCCAUACUGCGUUGAAUACGUUCCCGGGCCUUGUACACACCGCCCGU